UCGUAACAAGGUCUCCGUUGGUGAACCAGCGGAGGGAUCAUUACCGAGUUUACAACUCCCAAACCCCUGUGAACAUACCUUACUGUUGCCUCGGCGGAUCAGCCCGCUCCCGGUAAAACGGGACGGCCCGCCAGAGGACCCCUAAACUCUGUUUCUAUAUGUAACUUCUGAGUAAAACCAUAAAUAAAUCAAAACUUUCAACAACGGAUCUCUUGGUUCUGGCAUCGAUGAAGAACGCAGCAAAAUGCGAUAAGUAAUGUGAAUUGCAGAAUUCAGUGAAUCAUCGAAUCUUUGAACGCACAUUGCGCCCGCCAGUAUUCUGGCGGGCAUGCCUGUUCGAGCGUCAUUUCAACCCUCAAGCCCUCGGGUUUGGUGUUGGGGAUCGGCGAGCCUUUCUGGCAAGCCGGCCCCGAAAUCUAGUGGCGGUCUCGCUGCAGCCUCCAUUGCGUAGUAGUAAAACCCUCGCAACUGGAACGCGGCGCGGCCAAGCCGUUAAACCCCCAACUUCUGAAUGUUGACCUCGGAUCAGGUAGGAAUACCCGCUGAACUUAAGCAUAUCAA
Molecule: ribosomal RNA, 561 nt
Filed under: Fusarium redolens
Lineage: Eukaryota; Fungi; Ascomycota; Sordariomycetes; Hypocreales; Nectriaceae
Description: eukaryotic LSU rRNA
Rfam family: 5.8S ribosomal RNA (bases 193-346)
Source: RNAcentral